UCCCCACCCUCCUCCCCUGUUUGCCCCAUUUCCUCCGUUAUUCCCUUGGUAGUUAGGAGAAUAAUUCUAGAACAUCGUAAAGAAACGUGAUUAGUCGUCGAUCAUACCUUUGCAUCAUCCUGUUAAAUGGUGCGAUGGGCGUAUACUUCAAUCUCUGUUACUCGGUUUCUUAUGAACCUUUUGAUCGAAAUGAAAUUCGUUUAAUUCGAAUAUCGUCAAGAAAGAUCCAUUUUCGAACAAUGAAAUGUUUCUAGAUUCAUUGAUCGAUCGUUCCAUCAUUUUCAGGGAUAACCAUUAACAUGGAAAUAUUAAAAUCUUACCCGUUGCUGAUUGUACUGCGACCCGUAACUGUUGUACUGUGGAUUGUGGUAAUUGUUUCGCCCGUACUGUUGGGCGUUGUAAUUAUUUCUUUGCUGGUACUCCGAAUACUGUUGAUAAUUAUGGGGCGUGCCGUAACCCCUCGCCCAUGGACCAGGCAUCAUCGCAAACUGGCUGGAUCCUGCACUCUCGUAUCUUCCUUGAUAGUCUGUACUCCGGUCAAAACGCACAGAAUUUCUACGAAAUGGACAUCGAGCAACUUCGAAACUCCCGAUUGCUUCAGUCAAUGAACCUGUGCGUCGACAGGAAAGCGUAACCAUACAAAUAAAUCCAUAUCGAGCAUCUUCGUCUAUCAUCGACACGGAAAACAAAAGAGGAAACGUACGCUCCUGACAGAGGCACGAUAUUCGCGUAGGUGAAAGGGUCCGGAGCGUGGCGGCGCGUGUCCCAUGUUCCCUCGAAUAAUAUGUAAACGCGCGUGCAUAGCCACGGCUAACACGGAAGGCAAGAACAGAACGGCGAGGGCUAAGUAUUCGUCAGCAUCGCGAAACGUCAUAAUGGAGGCUCGAUGCUAAUAACGGAUUUUCGAAAGGGCAAUGCGCUCGGUGUAGGCGCGUGCCUCGCCCUGGCGAGUGCAUCAGCGUACAGGAAAAUCAGGCACGCACGCUGCAUCGUAUACCAGAGUGAAUGAGUAGCAGAGCGAGUGAAGAAAAAGAGAAGGAAGGAUAGGCCCCGGUUAUACGCGAAUCGUGUCGUUUCAACCGUCUGUUCACGGCAGGAAGCCGUCGAAUCCUCGCGCUGUUGCACGCCCACGUAAACACGACUGCCACCGAGAGACAGGAAAAAUUGAAGCCCCGGAAACGUGGUUCGAUGGGCCCCCACGAUAAUCCUCACCCUCGCCGAAAAAAGAGCCAAGGGGGAGGAGGGUUUAACAGUUUACACGUCGGAUCAUCCCUCGUUAUUGUUGCGUUUAUGAUAAUAGCAGCCGACUAGCACGCAUGCAGGCCCCGGCUAACCGCUUCAACCCUAUCCCGAGGGUCGCGAUCGUUGCCACGCUCAG
RNAcentral lists this unclassified non-coding RNA (1378 nucleotides) under Bombus terrestris (buff-tailed bumblebee). RNAcentral describes it as "misc RNA ENSBTSG00005024395.1". Lineage: Eukaryota; Metazoa; Arthropoda; Insecta; Hymenoptera; Apidae. The record is from RNAcentral.